AGUCGUAACAAGGUAGCCGUACCGGAAGGUGCGGCUGGAUCACCUCCUUUCUAAGGAGCAUCUGGCUCAGUUCAUCCUUCGGGGUGGGUGGGUCCAGGCGCCGAUGCAACCCGAACGUGGUUGCCGGUAGCUCAUGGGUGGAACAUUGACAGUGCAGUCGUCGGCGCGUCUGCCGACUCUAGUACGGCCUGCUUGCGGGUCAGGAACGGGUUGGUGGGGGAGCGGGGUGGCUGGUGCACGUUGUUGGGUCCUGAGGGACCAGGCUUCCCGGCUGUGAUGGUCGGGGUCCCUGCCGGUUGGUGGGGUGGGCCGUGACUGGGGUUCCUGUGAUGGGGGUUCUGGUCGGGUUCUUCGGUGGGCUGCAUGAAGCUGACACGGUUCGUGUUGGGGGAGUGUGGUGCCGAUCGUAUGUUGAGAACUACACAGUGGACGCGAGCAUCUUAGAUCGCUCGUGACGAUGACGAAGCUUUCGGGCUUGGUUGUUGUUCGAGUCGAUCGCAAUUUUAAUCUUUGUGGUCAAGUUUCUAAGAGCAAACGGUGGAUGCCUUGUCAC
This 553-nucleotide unclassified non-coding RNA is filed under the name Curtobacterium luteum. RNAcentral's name for it is "partial 16S-23S ribosomal RNA intergenic spacer". The stretch from base 1 to 50 matches the Rfam family "Bacterial small subunit ribosomal RNA", at positions 1484 to 1533 of the family's 1533-position model. The record is from RNAcentral. Lineage: Bacteria; Bacillati; Actinomycetota; Actinomycetes; Micrococcales; Microbacteriaceae.